This 577-nucleotide ribosomal RNA is filed under the name Helicotylenchus ciceri. RNAcentral describes it as "partial large subunit ribosomal RNA". It matches the Rfam family "Eukaryotic large subunit ribosomal RNA", at positions 405 to 813 of the family's 3401-position model. The record is from RNAcentral. Lineage: Eukaryota; Metazoa; Nematoda; Chromadorea; Rhabditida; Hoplolaimidae.
ACGAUGAGGUGGAAACGGACAGAGCUGGCGUAUCUGGCCUGCAUUCAGCUGUGCACCGCUGGCGUCAUGGAUGCAGCUCUCCAGAUUGGGACGGUGGUCUGACUGCUGGUGGGUUUGCGGUGCAUUUGCAGGUGGAGUGCGCCGAGGCGCUCGAUGCAGCGGCAUGAGCUCAGCUUUGAGGCCAGCCCCUCACGGGGUCUGGUACCCGGGUGAGGGGAGUGCUGUUUGCGCUGGGCGGCUGCAGUGGGCAAUGGACUCGGGCUCGUGUGGGUACCGAGCUGGGGGUCGACGUCGGUCGCUUGCGACACGUGCUGGCACCCAGUUCGUUCCUGCUCGAGCUCACAUCUGCCCGUCCUCGGUGUAAAAGCCGGUCAUCUGUCCGACCCGUCUUGAAACACGGACCAAGGAGUUUAGCGUGUGCGCGAGUCAUUGGGCGUUGAAAACCCAAAGGCGCAAUGAAAGUGAAGGUCUCCCUUGCGGAGCUGACGUGUGAUCCUGGGCACUUCGGUGCGCCGGGCGCAACAUGGUCCCGUCCCGAUUGCUUGCAAUGGGGCGGAGACAGAGCGUACGCGCUGAG